CCUUGGGCUGUCAAUGUCCAGACCUGCAGCCAGUGAGCAACAAGUAUGCAGGAUGGUGGGUCUGGAAGGGGAAAAGUGCCUGUGACAAGACUGGUUCCUGGGUCACUUGUGGAGACAGACUCGAGCAGGUUCCAGUGGCCGAUUCUUAUGCAUGCUGCUCCCGCUUGGGCCCACAGAGCAGUUGUGACUGCACUGCGGGGUCACAGGGGUCAUGAGCUGUGAUUGCCGGCGGGCUCCCUGCUCCGAGGACCCAGAAGACUCUGAAGUCCACCAUGAAUUUCUGCAGCUAGGGAGAAGUGUCCUCAAGGGAAAUCAAGGCCAAGAUUUGCCCCAAACAACUUCUCUCCAUCUGCCUUCUUGGUGAGCGUGUGGCGGGAAGACGACCGCCCCCACGUCCAUGGUCUCAGCUCGGUUUCAGAGCUGCUUUUCCUAAUAAAUAAACACUCAG
Bos indicus x Bos taurus (hybrid cattle) is the source of this 448-nucleotide long non-coding RNA. Lineage: Eukaryota; Metazoa; Chordata; Mammalia; Artiodactyla; Bovidae. The record is from Ensembl.